This 5298-nucleotide long non-coding RNA is filed under the name Pan troglodytes (chimpanzee). RNAcentral describes it as "long non-coding RNA NONPTRT002692". The record is from RNAcentral. Lineage: Eukaryota; Metazoa; Chordata; Mammalia; Primates; Hominidae.
GCGGCAGGCAGUGAGGCAGCCAGCGCAGGGGCUUCUGCUGAGGGCGCAGGCGGAGCUUGAGGAAACCGCAGAUAAGUUUUUUUCACUUUGAAAGAUAGAGAUUAAUACAACUACUUAAAAAAUAUAGUCAAUAGGUUACUAAGAUAUUGCUUAGCGUUAAGCUUUUAACGUAAUUUUAAUAGCUUAAGAUUUUAAGAGAAAAUAUGAAGACUUAGAAGAGUAGCAUGACGAAGGAAAAGAUAAAAGAUUUCUAAAACAUGACGGAGGUUGAGAUGAAGCUUCUUCAUGGAGUAAAAAAUGUAUUUAAAAGAAAAUUGAGAGAAAGGACUACAGAGCCCUGAAUUAAUACCAAUAGAAGGGCAAUGCUUUUAGAUUAAAAUGAAGGUGACUUAAACAGCUUAAAGUUUACUUUAAAAGUUGUAGGUGAUUAAAAUAAUUUGAAGGCGAUCUUUUAAAAAGAGAUUAAACCGAAGGUGAUUAAAAGACCUUGAAAUCCAUGACGCAGGGAGAAUUGCGUCAUUUAAAGCCUAGUUAACGCAUUUAAACGCAGACGAAAAUGGAAAGAUUAGUUGGGAGUGGUAGGAUGAAACGAUUUGGAGAAGAUAGAAGUUUGAAGUGGAAAACUGGAAGACAGAAGUACAGGAAGGCGGAGAAAAGAAUAGAGAAGAUAGGGAAAUUAGAAGAUAAAAACAUACUUUUAGAAGAAAAAAGAUAAAUUUAAACCUGAAAAGUAGGAAGCAGAAGAAAAAAGACAAGCUAGGAAACAAAAAACUAAGGGCAAAAUGUACAAACUUAGAAGAAAAUUGGAAGAUAGAAACAAGAUAGAAAAUGAAAAUAUUGUCAAGAGUUUCAGAUAGAAAAUGAAAAACAAGCUAAGACAAGUAUUGGAGAAGUAUAGAAGAUAGAAAAAUAUAAAGCCAAAAAUUGGAUAAAAUAGCACUGAAAAAGUGAGGAAAUUAUUGGUAACCAAUUUAUUUUAAAAGCCCAUCAAUUUAAUUUCUGGUGGUGCAGAAGUUAGAAGGUAAAGCUUGAGAAGAUGAGGGUGUUUACGUAGACCAGAACCAAUUUAGAAGAAUACUUGAAGCUAGAAGGGGAAGUUGGUUAAAAAUCACAUCAAAAAAGGACUGGUGUAAUUUAAAAAAAAACUAAGGCAGAAGGCUUUUGGAAGAGUUAGAAGAAUUUGGAAGGCCUUAAAUAUAGUAGCUUAGUUUGAAAAAUGUGAAGGACUUUCGUAACGGAAGUAAUUCAAGAUCAAGAGUAAUUACCAACUUAAUGUUUUUGCAUUGGACUUUGAGUUAAGAUUAUUUUUUAAAUCCUGAGGACUAGCAUUAAUUGACAGCUGACCCAGGUGCUACACAGAAGUGGAUUCAGUGAAUCUAGGAAGACAGCAGCAGACAGGAUUCCGGGAACCAGUGUUUGAUGAAGCUAGGACUGAGGAGCAAGCGAGCAAGCAGCAGUUCGUGGUGAAGAUAGGAAAAGAGUCCAGGAGCCAGUGCGAUUUGGUGAAGGAAGCUAGGAAGAAGGAAGGAGCGCUAACGAUUUGGUGGUGAAGCUAGGAAAAAGGAUUCCAGAAAGGAGCGAGUGCGAUUUGGUGAUGAAGCUAGCAGGCGGCUUGGCUUGGCAACCACACGGAGGAGGCGAGCAGGCGUUGUGCGUAGAUAGAGGAUCCUAGACCAGCAUGCCAGUGUGCCAAGGCCACAGGGAAAACGAGUGGUUGGUAAAAAUCCGUGAGGUCGGCAAUAUGUUGUUUUUCUGGAACUUAUGGUAACCUUUUAUUUAUUUUCUAAUAUAAUGGGGGAGUUUCGUACUGAGGUGUAAAGGGAUUUAUAUGGGGAACGUAGGCCGAUUUCCGGGUGUUGUAGGUUUCUCUUUUUCAGGCUUAUACUCAUGAAUCUUGUCUGAAGCUUUUGAGGGCAGACUGCCAAGUCCUGGAGAAAUAGUAGAUGGCAAGUUUGUGGGUUUUUUUUUUUUUUUUUUUUUUUUUUACGAAUUUGAGGAAAACCAAAUGAAUUUGAUAGCCAAAUUGAGACAAUUUCAGCAAAUCUGUAAGCAGUUUGUAUGUUUAGUUGGGGUAAAUGAAGUAUUUCAGUUUUGUGAAUAGAUGACCUGUUUUUACUUCCUCACCCUGAAUUCGUUUUGUAAAUGUAGAGUUUGGAUGUGUAACUGAGGCGGGGGGGAGUUUUCAGUAUUUUUUUUUUGUGGGGGUGGGGGCAAAAUAUGUUUUCAGUUCUUUUUCCCUUAGGUCUGUCUAGAAUCCUAAAGGCAAAUGACUCAAGGUGUAACAGAAAACAAGAAAAUCCAAUAUCAGGAUAAUCAGACCACCACAGGUUUACAGUUUAUAGAAACUAGAGCAGUUCUCACGUUGAGGUCUGUGGAAGAGAUGUCCAUUGGAGAAAUGGCUGGUAGUUACUCUUUUUUCCCCCCACCCCCUUAAUCAGACUUUAAAAGUGCUUAACCCCUUAAACUUGUUAUUUUUUACUUGAAGCAUUUUGGGAUGGUCUUAACAGGGAAGAGAGAGGGUGGGGGAGAAAAUGUUUUUUUCUAAGAUUUUCCACAGAUGCUAUAGUACUAUUGACAAACUGGGUUAGAGAAGGAGUGUACCGCUGUGCUGUUGGCACGAACACCUUCAGGGACUGGAGCUGCUUUUAUCCUUGGAAGAGUAUUUCCAGUUGAAGCUGAAAAGUACAGCACAGUGCAGCUUUGGUUCAUAUUCAGUCAUCUCAGGAGAACUUCAGAAGAGCUUGAGUAGGCCAAAUGUUGAAGUUAAGUUUUCCAAUAAUGUGACUUCUUAAAAGUUUUAUUAAAGGGGAGGGGCAAAUAUUGGCAAUUAGUUGGCAGUGGCCUGUUACGGUUGGGAUUGGUGGGGUGGGUUUAGGUAAUUGUUUAGUUUAUGAUUGCAGAUAAACUCAUGCCAGAGAACUUAAAGUCUUAGAAUGGAAAAAGUAAAGAAAUAUCAACUUCCAAGUUGGCAAGUAACUCCCAAUGAUUUAGUUUUUUUCCCCCCAGUUUGAAUUGGGAAGCUGGGGGAAGUUAAAUAUGAGCCACUGGGUGUACCAGUGCAUUAAUUUGGGCAAGGAAAGUGUCAUAAUUUGAUACUGUAUCUGUUUUCCUUCAAAGUAUAGAGCUUUUGGGGAAGGAAAGUAUUGAACUGGGGGUUGGUCUGGCCUACUGGGCUGACAUUAAUUACAAUUAUGGGAAAUGCAAAAGUUGUUUGGAUAUGGUAGUGUGUGGUUCUCUUUUGGAAUUUUUUUCAGGUGAUUUAAUAAUAAUUUAAAACUACUAUAGAAACUUCAGAGCAAAGGAAGUGGCUUAAUGAUCCUGAAGGGAUUUCUUCUGAUGGUAGCUUUUGUAUUAUCAAGUAAGAUUCUAUUUUCAGUUGUGUGUAAGCAAGUUUUUUUUUUAGCGUAGGAGAAAUACUUUUCCAUUGUUUAACUGCAAAACAAGAUGUUAAGGUAUCUCUUCGUUAUCAGAAGAGUUGCUUCAUUUCAUCUGGGAGCAGAAAACAGCAGGCAGCUGUUAACAGAUAAGUUUAACUUGCAUCUGCAGUAUUGCAUGUUAGGGAUAAGUGCUUAUUUUUAAGAGGUGUGGAGUUCUUAAAUAUCAACCAUGGCACUUUCUCCUGACCCCUUCCCUAGGGGAUUUCAGGAUUGAGAAAUUUUUCCAUCGAGCCUCUUUAAAAUUGUAGGACUUGUUCCUGUGGGCUUCAAUGAUGGGAUAGUACACUUCACUCAGAGGCAUUUGCAUCUUUAAAUAAUUUCUUAAAAGCCUCUAAAGUGAUCAGUGCCUUGAUGCCAACUAAGGAAAUUUGUUUAGCAUUGAAUCUCUGAAGGCUCUAUGAAAGGAAUAGCAUGAUGUGCUGUUAGAAUCAGAUGUUAUUGCUAAAAUUUACAUGUUGUGUUGUGAUGUAAAUUGUGUAGAAAACCAUUAAAUCAUUCAAAAUAAUAAACUAUUUUUAUUAGAGAAUGUAUACUUUUAGAAAGCUGUCUCCUUAUUUAAAUACAAUACUGUUUGUCUGUAGUUUAGUGUUGGGGCAAUCUUGGGGGGGAUUCUUCUCUAAUCUUUCAGAAACUUUGUCUGCGAACACUCUUUAAUGGACCAGAUCAGGAUUUGAGCGGAAGAACGAAUGUAACUUUAAGGCAGGAAAGACAAAUUUUAUUCUUCAUAAAGUGAUGAGCAUAUAAUAAUUCCAGGCACAUGGCAAUAGAGGCCCUCUAAAUAAGGAAUAAAUAACCUCUUAGACAGGUGGGAGAUUAUGAUCAGAGUAAAAGGUAAUUACACAUUUUAUUUCCAGAAAGUCAGGGGUCUAUAAAUUGACAGUGAUUAGAGUAAUACUUUUUCACAUUUCCAAAGUUUGCAUGUUAACUUUAAAUGCUUACAAUCUUAGAGUGGUAGGCAAUGUUUUACAUUAUUGACCUUAUAUAGGGAAGGGAGGGGGUGCCUGUGGGUUUUUAAAGAAUUUUCCUUUGCAGAGGCAUUUCAUCCUUCAUGAAGCUGUUCAGGAUUUUGAAUUGCAUAUGAGUGCUUGGCUCUUCCUUCUGUUCUCCUAACUUCACAGAGAAUGCAGUUGUCUUGACUUCAGGUCUGUCUGUUCUGUUGGCAAGUAAAUGCAGUACUGUUCUGAUCCCGCUGCUAUUAGAAUGCAUUGUGAAACGACUGGAGUAUGAUUAAAAGUUGUGUUCCCCAAUGCUUGGAGUAGUGAUUGUUGAAGGAAAAAAUCCAGCUGAGUGAUAAAGGCUGAGUGUUGAGGAAAUUUCUGCAGUUUUAAGCAGUCGUAUUUGUGAUUGAAGCUGAGUACAUUUUGCUGGUGUAUUUUUAGGUAAAAUGCUUUUUGUUCAUUUCUGGUGCUGGGAGGGGACUGAAGCCUUUAGUCUUUUCCAGAUGCAACCUUAAAAUCAGUGACAAGAAACAAAUUCCAAACAAGCAACAGUCUUCAAGAAAUUAAACUGGCAAGUGGAAAUGUUUAAACAGUUCAGUGAUCUUUAGUGCAUUGUUUUUGUGUGGGUUUCUCUCUCCCCUCCCUUGGUCUUAAUUCUUACAUGCAGGAACACUCAGCAGACACACGUAUGCGAAGGGCCAGAGAAGCCAGACCCAGUAAGAAAAAAUAGCCUAUUUACUUUAAAUAAACCAAACAUUCCAUUUUAAAUGUGGGGAUUGGGAACCACUAGUUCUUUCAGAUGGUAUUCUUCAGACUAUAGAAGGAGCUUCCAGUUGAAUUCACCAGUGGACAAAAUGAGGAAAACAGGUGAACAAGCUUUUUCUGUAUUUACAUACAAAGUCAGAUCAGUUAUGGGACAAUAG